This 616-nucleotide ribosomal RNA is filed under the name Aeromicrobium sp. AK-27. RNAcentral's name for it is "bacterial SSU rRNA". It matches the Rfam family "Bacterial small subunit ribosomal RNA", at positions 55 to 685 of the family's 1533-position model. The record is from RNAcentral. Lineage: Bacteria; Bacillati; Actinomycetota; Actinomycetes; Propionibacteriales; Nocardioidaceae.
CUGNAGUUCGAGCGGUAAGGCUCCUUCGGGAGUACACGAGCGGCGAACGGGUGAGUAACACGUGAGUAACCUGCCCCAUUCAUCGGAAUAACCAGUGGAAACGCUGGCUAAUGCCGAAUACGACCACCGAAGGCAUCUUCUGGUGGUGGAAAGCUCCGGCGGAGUGGGAUGGACUCGCGGCCUAUCAGCUUGUUGGUGAGGUAAUGGCUCACCAAGGCGACGACGGGUAGCCGGCCUGAGAGGGUGACCGGCCACACUGGGACUGAGACACGGCCCAGACUCCUACGGGAGGCAGCAGUGGGGAAUAUUGGACAAUGGGCGAAAGCCUGAUCCAGCAACGCCGCGUGAGGGAUGACGGCCUUCGGGUUGUAAACCUCUUUCAGCAGGGACGAAGCGAAAGUGACGGUACCUGCAGAAGAAGGACCGGCCAACUACGUGCCAGCAGCCGCGGUAAUACGUAGGGUCCGAGCGUUGUCCGGAAUUAUUGGGCGUAAAGGGCUCGUAGGCGGUUUGUCACGUCGGAAGUGAAAACUCAGGGCUCAACCCUGAGCGUGCUUACGAUACGGGCAAACUAGAGGUAUGCAGGGGAGAACGGAAUUCCUGGUGUAGCGGUGAA